Molecule: ribosomal RNA, 533 nt
Filed under: Bifidobacterium adolescentis
Lineage: Bacteria; Bacillati; Actinomycetota; Actinomycetes; Bifidobacteriales; Bifidobacteriaceae
Description: partial 16S ribosomal RNA
Rfam family: Bacterial small subunit ribosomal RNA
Source: RNAcentral
CGGGUGGUAAUGCCGGAUGCUCCAGUUGACCGCAUGGUCCUCUGGGAAAGCUUUUGCGGUAUGGGAUGGGGUCGCGUCCUAUCAGCUUGAUGGCGGGGUAACGGCCCACCAUGGCUUCGACGGGUAGCCGGCCUGAGAGGGCGACCGGCCACAUUGGGACUGAGAUACGGCCCAGACUCCUACGGGAGGCAGCAGUGGGGAAUAUUGCACAAUGGGCGCAAGCCUGAUGCAGCGACGCCGCGUGCGGGAUGACGGCCUUCGGGUUGUAAACCGCUUUUGACUGGGAGCAAGCCCUUCGGGGUGAGUGUACCUUUCGAAUAAGCACCGGCUAACUACGUGCCAGCAGCCGCGGUAAUACGUAGGGUGCAAGCGUUAUCCGGAAUUAUUGGGCGUAAAGGGCUCGUAGGCGGUUCGUCGCGUCCGGUGUGAAAGUCCAUCGCUUAACGGUGGAUCCGCGCCGGGUACGGGCGGGCUUGAGUGCGGUAGGGGAGACUGGAAUUCCCGGUGUAACGGUGGAAUGUGUAGAUAUCGGG